GGUGAUUGCAGGUAGUGAGGGAUAAUCCUCAAUUUACGCAUUGCAGAACUCAGAAAACGUCCUCCCAGCACAUGUGAAAAGGAAUGUGUGACGAGACCAAUCUCGCCACAUUGCAUUGGAGAAGCCUGGUUGCUCGCCUGUUGCCUUUGGAUUAUGGCCCCAUGUUAAAAGGCUUGAUUUUCCCCUACAAAGACAUGAAAGCAGGGUCAUUUGGUGCUUGCCCUGUUUGAGCGGUG
Molecule: non-coding RNA, 236 nt
Organism: Pelobates cultripes (western spadefoot toad)
Lineage: Eukaryota; Metazoa; Chordata; Amphibia; Anura; Pelobatidae
Source: the annotation of a GenBank genome assembly